This 91-nucleotide transfer RNA is filed under the name [Eubacterium] brachy. RNAcentral's name for it is "tRNA-Ser(gct)". It matches the Rfam family "tRNA". From Rfam's summary of the family: Transfer RNA (tRNA) molecules are approximately 80 nucleotides in length. Lineage: Bacteria; Bacillati; Bacillota; Clostridia; Peptostreptococcales; Anaerovoracaceae. RNAcentral also lists the same sequence under 15 other names. The record is from RNAcentral.
GGAGAAGUACUCAAGAGGCUGAAGAGGACGGUUUGCUAAAUCGUUAGGGUUCGCAAGGGCCGCAUGGGUUCGAAUCCCAUCUUCUCCGCCA